RNAcentral lists this ribosomal RNA (313 nucleotides) under uncultured Cortinarius. Its description in RNAcentral is "eukaryotic LSU rRNA". Lineage: Eukaryota; Fungi; Basidiomycota; Agaricomycetes; Agaricales; Cortinariaceae. The record is from RNAcentral.
AACGCACCUUGCACUCCUUGGUAUUCCGAGGAGCAUGCCUGUUUGAGUGUCAUUAAUAUAUCAACCUCUCAAGCUUUUUUGCUUGUCGAGUGCGUGGAUGUGGGGGUUUAUUUUGCUGGCCUCUUCUGAGUCAGCUCCCCUGAAAUGCAUUAGCAGAACAAUGUGUUGAUCGUUCAUUGGUGUGAUAAGUAUCUACGCUAUUGACGUGAAGCGGGUUCUGCUUAUAACAGUCCAUUGGCUUGGACAAAAUUUCUGUUAAUGUGACCUCAAAUCAGGUAGGACUACCCGCUGAACUUAAGCAUAUCAACGGAGG